RNAcentral lists this ribosomal RNA (305 nucleotides) under uncultured bacterium. RNAcentral's name for it is "partial 16S ribosomal RNA". It matches the Rfam family "Bacterial small subunit ribosomal RNA", at positions 505 to 807 of the family's 1533-position model. The record is from RNAcentral.
ACAGCAGUCGCCACGGUAAUACGAAGGGUGCAAGCGUUACUCGGAAUUACUGGGCGUAAAGCGUGCGUAGGUGGUUGUUUAAGUCCGUUGUGAAAGCCCUGGGCUCAACCUGGGAAUUGCAGUGGAUACUGGGCAACUAGAGUGUGGUAGAGGAUAGUGGAAUUUCCGGUGUAGCAGUGAAAUGCGUAGAGAUCGGAAGGAACAUCUGUGGCGAAGGCGACUAUCUGGGCCAACACUGACACUGAGGCACGAAAGCGUGGGGAGCAAACAGGAUUAGAUACCCCUGUAGUCCCUGUCUCUUAUAC